Oleoguttula mirabilis is the source of this 80-nucleotide non-coding RNA. The record is from the annotation of a GenBank genome assembly. NCBI's taxonomy places the organism in Eukaryota, Fungi, Ascomycota, Dothideomycetes, Mycosphaerellales, Teratosphaeriaceae.
GUCCUGCUGGCGCAAUGGUAGCGCGCCAGACUUCUAUCAUUGAUAUCUGGAGGUUGCGAGUUCGAGUCUCGCGUGGGAUG